GGCGAACGGGUGAGUAACACGUGAGUAACCUGCCCUUGACUUUGGGAUAACUUCAGGAAACUGGGGCUAAUACCGGAUAGGAGCUCCUGCUGCAUGGUGGGGUUGGAAAGUUUCGGCGGUUGGGGAUGGACUCGCGGCUUAUCAGCUUGUUGGUGGGGUAGUGGCUUACCAAGGCUUUGACGGGUAGCCGGCCUGAGAGGGUGACCGGCCACAUUGGGACUGAGAUACGGCCCAG
This 235-nucleotide ribosomal RNA is filed under the name uncultured Actinomycetales bacterium. RNAcentral's name for it is "partial 16S ribosomal RNA". It matches the Rfam family "Bacterial small subunit ribosomal RNA", at positions 97 to 334 of the family's 1533-position model. Lineage: Bacteria; Bacillati; Actinomycetota; Actinomycetes; Actinomycetales. The record is from RNAcentral.